RNAcentral lists this ribosomal RNA (206 nucleotides) under uncultured bacterium. RNAcentral describes it as "partial 16S ribosomal RNA". It matches the Rfam family "Bacterial small subunit ribosomal RNA", at positions 568 to 773 of the family's 1533-position model. The record is from RNAcentral.
CGCGUAGGCGGCUUGUACAGUCAGACGUGAAAUUCCUGGGCUCAACCUGGGGGCUGCGUUUGAUACGUAUGGGCUUGAGUUCGGAAGAGGGUCGUGGAAUUCCCAGUGUAGAGGUGAAAUUCGUAGAUAUUGGGAAGAACACCGGUGGCGAAGGCGGCGACCUGGUCCGAUACUGACGCUGAGGCGCGAAAGCGUGGGGGAGAAAC